Molecule: long non-coding RNA, 201 nt
Filed under: Manihot esculenta (cassava)
Lineage: Eukaryota; Viridiplantae; Streptophyta; Magnoliopsida; Malpighiales; Euphorbiaceae
Description: long non-coding RNA (MESC_LNC010286)
Source: RNAcentral
AAACUACACAAAGGGAAGCCUAAAGUGAAGAUCAAGUAAGGCUUUUGUGAAGAUUCAGCUUUGUUAUGAUGGGUUUGCUAUAUUUUUAUUAUUUAACACUUGUUUUAUUUUAGCUUUGUUUGGGCUUGUAUUCUGGCCAUACUUUAUCUUUUAAGUUUUAGAGUGUUGGGCCAUGUUUUGGGCUUAUGUUUUAAUACUUAU